This 403-nucleotide ribosomal RNA is filed under the name uncultured bacterium. Its description in RNAcentral is "bacterial SSU rRNA". It matches the Rfam family "Bacterial small subunit ribosomal RNA", at positions 355 to 775 of the family's 1533-position model. The record is from RNAcentral.
UGGGGAAUAUUGCACAAUGGGGGAAACCCUGAUGCAGCGACGCCGCGUGAAGGAAGAAGUAUCUCGGUAUGUAAACUUCUAUCAGCAGGGAAGAAAAUGACGGUACCUGACUAAGAAGCCCCGGCUAACUACGUGCCAGCAGCCGCGGUAAUACGUAGGGGGCAAGCGUUAUCCGGAUUUACUGGGUGUAAAGGGAGCGUAGACGGAAGAGCAAGUCUGAUGUGAAAGCCCGGGGCUUAACCCCGGGACUGCAUUGGAAACUGUUUUUCUAGAGUGCCGGAGAGGUAAGCGGAAUUCCUAGUGUAGCGGUGAAAUGCGUAGAUAUUAGGAGGAACACCAGUGGCGAAGGCGGCUUACUGGACGGUAACUGACGUUGAGGCUCGAAAGCGUGGGGAGCAAACAG